RNAcentral lists this ribosomal RNA (313 nucleotides) under Paracoccus sp. (in: a-proteobacteria). RNAcentral's name for it is "bacterial SSU rRNA". It matches the Rfam family "Bacterial small subunit ribosomal RNA", at positions 51 to 392 of the family's 1533-position model. Lineage: Bacteria; Pseudomonadati; Pseudomonadota; Alphaproteobacteria; Rhodobacterales; Paracoccaceae. The record is from RNAcentral.
ACACAUGCAGUCGAGCGAGGACUUCGGUUCUAGCGGCGGACGGGUGAGUAACGCGUGGGAAUGUGCCCUUCUCUACGGAAUAGCCCUGGGAAACUGGGAGUAAUACCGUAUACGCCCUAUUGGGGAAAGAUUUAUCGGAGAAGGAUCAGCCCGCGUUGGAUUAGGUAGUUGGUGGGGUAAUGGCCUACCAAGCCGACGAUCCAUAGCUGGUUUGAGAGGAUGAUCAGCCACACUGGGACUGAGACACGGCCCAGACUCCUACGGGCAGGCCGCCCUGCGGAAUCUUAGACGAUGGGGGCUACCCUGAUCCAGC